AAGAAUCUUGCGCAAUGGGCGGAAGCCUGACGCAGCGACGCCGCGUGAGGGAUGAAGGUCUUCGGAUUGUAAACCUCUUUCAGUAGGGACGAAUUUAGACGGUACCUGCAGAAGAAGCACCGGCCAACUACGUGCCAGCAGCCGCGGUAAUACGUAGGGUGCGAGCGUUGUCCGGAAUUAUUGGGCGUAAAGAGCCCGUAGGCGGUUCGUCGCGUCGAAUGUGAAAACCCGGGGCUCAACUCCGGGCCUGCAUUCGAUACGGGCGGACUAGAGUUCGGUAGGGGAGACUGGAAUUCCUGGUGUAGCGGUGAAAUGCGCAGAUAUCAGGAGGAACACCGGUGGCGAAGGCGGGUCUCUGGGCCGAUACUGACGCUGAGGAGCGAAAGCGUGGGGAGCGAA
This 399-nucleotide ribosomal RNA is filed under the name uncultured bacterium. RNAcentral describes it as "bacterial SSU rRNA". It matches the Rfam family "Bacterial small subunit ribosomal RNA", at positions 357 to 772 of the family's 1533-position model. The record is from RNAcentral.